GUAGGUGGCAAGCGUUGUCCGGAAUUAUUGGGCGUAAAGCGCGCGCAGGUGGUUCUUUAAGUCUGAUGUGAAAGCCCCCGGGCUCAACCGGGGAGGGUCAUUGGAAACUGGGGAACUUGAGUGCAGGAGAGGAAAGUGGAAUUCCACGUGUAGCGGUGAAAUGCGUAGGUAUGUGGAGGAACACCAGUGGCGAAGGCGACUUUCUGGCCUGUAACUGACACUGAGGCGCGAAAGCGUGGGGAGCAAACAGGAUUAGAUACCCUGGUAGUCCACGCCGUAAACGAUGAGUGCUAAGUGUUGGGGGGUUUCCGCCCCUCAGUGCUGCAGCUAACGCAUUAAGCACUCCGCCUGGGGAGUACGGUCGCAAAGACUG
Molecule: ribosomal RNA, 373 nt
Filed under: uncultured organism
Description: partial 16S ribosomal RNA
Rfam family: Bacterial small subunit ribosomal RNA
Source: RNAcentral